RNAcentral lists this ribosomal RNA (253 nucleotides) under uncultured bacterium. Its description in RNAcentral is "partial 16S ribosomal RNA". It matches the Rfam family "Bacterial small subunit ribosomal RNA", at positions 524 to 776 of the family's 1533-position model. The record is from RNAcentral.
UACGGAGGAUGCAAGCGUUAUCCGGAAUGAUUGGGCGUAAAGCGUCCGCAGGUGGCUGUGUAAGUCUGCUGUUAAAGAGUGAGGCUCAACCUCAUAAAAGCAGUGGAAACUACACAGCUAGAGUGCGGUAGGGGCAGAGGGAAUUCCUGGUGUAGCGGUGAAAUGCGUAGAUAUCAGGAAGAACACCGGUGGCGAAAGCGCUCUGCUAGGCCGCAACUGACACUGAGGGACGAAAGCUAGGGGAGCGAAUGGG